UGGGGAAUAUUGGACAAUGGGCGCAAGCCUGAUCCAACAAUGCCGCGUGUGUGAAGAAGGCCUUCGGGUUGUAAAGCACUUUUAUCAGGAGCGAAACGCUGUCGGCUAAUACCCGGCGGAACUGACGGUACCUGAGGAAUAAGCACCGGCUAACUUCGUGCCAGCAGCCGCGGUAAUACGAAGGGUGCAAGCGUUAAUCGGAAUUACUGGGCGUAAAGCGUGCGUAGGCGGUUUCUUAAGUCUGCUGUGAAAUCCCCGGGCUCAACCUGGGAAUGGCAGUGGAUACUGGGAGGCUAGAGUGUGUCAGAGGGUGGUGGAAUUCCCGGUGUAGCGGUGAAAUGCGUAGAGAUCGGGAGGAACAUCAGUGGCGAAGGCGGCCACCUGGGACAACACUGACGCUGAGGCACGAAAGCGUGGGGAGCAAACAGGAUUAGAUACCCUGGUAGUCCACGCCCUAAACGAUGCGAACUGGAUGUUGGUCUCAACUCGGAGAUCAGUGUCGAAGCUAACGCGUUAAGUUCGCCGCCUGGGGAGUGCGGUCGCAAGACUG
RNAcentral lists this ribosomal RNA (550 nucleotides) under uncultured bacterium. RNAcentral's name for it is "partial 16S ribosomal RNA". It matches the Rfam family "Bacterial small subunit ribosomal RNA", at positions 355 to 896 of the family's 1533-position model. The record is from RNAcentral.